This 2477-nucleotide long non-coding RNA is filed under the name Salmo salar (Atlantic salmon). RNAcentral describes it as "lncRNA (ENSSSAG00000113031.1)". Lineage: Eukaryota; Metazoa; Chordata; Actinopteri; Salmoniformes; Salmonidae. The record is from RNAcentral.
UGGUCACGUCAGAGGGCCUCCGGUUUAGGCCAAUCAGAGGCCCGGACAGGUGCCCCUCCGGGAGGACAGUUUCGGAGGCGGAAACCUGCAGGUCCACUAAAAGACAGACGCCUCAAUAUAAAGUUGGAUAUUCAGUCGUAUUUUUAUUUUUUUAAAUCAGAGAAUCACUGAAACAACGAGUUAUGAGAACGAAUCAAAUUAUUUUUUUAAACCGUGGAAAGAGAAUGAGUGGAGAUAGCUUGAGCUGAGAAUCCGUGUGUAUAAAGGUAGACGCACUUUUAAGACGCACAACAUAAUAGCCGUUUCAACUGAUUCCACAAGAUAUCAGCCAUGGAUUUUUAACAUCAACACGGACUAAAGUUCGUUCUUGAAGAGGUCCGAUCCGCUCCACUCCGACCCUGUCCCAUACCAGUCCGUAUAGUGCAGGUAGAAGAUGGCAGAGAGAGUGACUUGGUGGAGAGCGUUUAUGGGGAGCAGUAAGACGAUUAGUAGUGGUACCAAGGACAUCACCCCAGCUACCCAGAUCCCAGACACAGUGAAGGACCCUCUGACGCCCCGCACACAGGGAAUCCAAGCUACACCACACUCAGCAGCCCCCAAACUCCCAACCAAUCAACAGCCACCAGCAUCACCACAACAACCAGCAUCACAGCAGCCACAGGCACCAGUCAGUACAGGCACCAGCCUCUUCAGCGACGAGACCUUCGAUGACUCCCAGUUUGAGUCGGUCUUCAACGAACAUACUUGUCGUAGGAACCUGAGGGUGUCUCGGUCAGGCCGGUUUAAGGAGAAGAAGAGGGUACGCUCCAGUCUUCCUACUGGGAAAGAGGACGUACGAUAACGAGGAUGGUGAUGAUGAGGGAGAUAGUGGCCAAAAGACUGCUCUUACUUCUGAACUUUAUUUCAACACGGCCGUCCGUUCUGGGGGAAAAGGAAGGUAGAUGAAGAUGAAUUGUAAGUUGAAGAUAAGUUGAGGGUAGAGUUGAAGAUAAGUUGAAGAUAAGUUGAGGGUAGAGUUGAGGGUAAGUUGAAGAUAAGUCAAAGAUAAGUUGAAGAUAAGUUGAAGAUAAGUUGAAGAUAGUGAUUUGAGACCUUGACUUUACUCUUUGGAACCCUUUUGUCAGUACUAGAGAGUCUGUCUGUUCCGCUGCUGCUGCUUCUUCAUCAAUCAACAUGAGAUUCAUUUCAUUGAUUUUGAUUUAUUGAUCCCUUAUGGGAAGCUGAACAUUAUUUAAUCAACUUUUUAACCCUUGAAAAUGAAUAACUUAAGCUGUGUUUCCCAUCACAAAGAAAGUGAACUGAUACUCUUCUCUACCUCCUGUCUUGUUACAUUAUAAUGGACUGCUGAUUGGCAGUAGUGAAAGUUUCUCCGUGACAGCUAGGUAGGUACUUACCAGUCCUUCCUUGAGGAAAAUCACAGGUCUGACAAGGUUUGAUUGAUUUAAAGCAAUAGGAAGACAAGUGUGUCUUUACUAAUCCAAUCCCGUAAAGAUCAGUGGUUAGGCUACUUCAAGGAAGGAAAGAAGGGAGGAAUGAAGGAAGGAAGGACCAUUUUCUGUAAGAAGUACCACCUUUCAGCUUUAAAAACUAUCCAGACUUUUCUAGCCUUUUUUGUUGUUGUAUCAAAACAGUAUACUGAAAAUGAGACACACACACACACACAGCUACGCACAUUCCAGGAAAUGAUACGCUGUUUAUAAGAUGUUUACAUAUAUAUGUGUAAUAUUCAGAAUAUGAAGGAUAUAAUAUUGUUUUUACCAAUCAAUGUUGUUGUUUUGUUUAUUUAAAAAAAAAUAUGAUUACAGUGGGUUAGAAGGGUACUUUAAAAAAAAAAAUUUAAAGAGGUGGGAUUGCUUGAAUGAAUGAGCAUUGGUGUUUGUGACGGACAGGUGAAAAUAUAAGAUUAUAUCCACUAGCUGCUAUUCGGUUACAUACAGGCACACGUUUUAGAGGGAAACAUCACCAUCUGGAGCAAAUCCUGAUAGAAGAUGCUAUUAGAAGCUAAACAGUAAGGUGUUAUAGAUAUAUAUAAUCCUGAUAGAAGAUGCUAUUAGAAGUUAAACACUAAGGUGUUAUAGAUAUAUAUAAUCCUGAUAGAAGAUGCUAUUAGAAGCUAAACAGUAAGGUGUUAUAGAUAUAAUCCUGAUAGAAGAUGCUAUUAGAAGCUAAACAGUAAGGUGUUAUAAAUAUAUAUAAUCCUGAUAGAAGAUGCUAUUAGAAGCUAAACAUUAAGGUGUUAUACAUUUAUAUAAUCCUGAUAGAAGAUACUAUUAUAAACUAAACGGUAAGGUGUUCUAAAGUCUGUCUAUUCAGUAAUACAGUGAUUGACAUCACUGUGCUUCAAGUGAACGUGACACAUACACCAUGGUCUGUAAAUACUGCAAUGAAGGCUAAACAUGAUUGUUGUAAUGACAGAAGAACAAAUAAACGUGGAUCAAUGUGUGCCUCCAUGUCUGUGUGAACGCUUGUGUGUCUGU